AAUUAAUUUUAACGGCCGCGGUAUCCUGACCGUGCAAAGGUAGCAUAAUCACUUGUCUCCUAAAUAGAGACUUGUAUGAAUGGCAAAACGAGGGUUUAACUGUCUCUUUUUCUCAAUCAAUGAAAUUGACCUACCCGUGCAGAGGCGGGUAUAACUUUAUAAGACGAGAAGACCCUGUGGAGCUUAAAAUUACAACUUAAAUUAAUUUAUACUAUACCCUAAGGGAUUAAUCUUACAAAACUUUUUAAGCUGAAUUUUUGGUUGGGGUGACCUCGGAGCACAAGCAACCCUCCGAAUGACAUAACUAAGACUAACACAUCUAAGUGCAACCUAAGCCAGUAAUUGACCCAAAACUUGAUCAACGGAACAAGUUACCCCAGGGAUAACAGCGCAAUCCUAUUU
This 402-nucleotide ribosomal RNA is filed under the name Monodelphis domestica (gray short-tailed opossum). Its description in RNAcentral is "partial 16S ribosomal RNA". It matches the Rfam family "Bacterial large subunit ribosomal RNA", at positions 1916 to 2493 of the family's 2925-position model. Lineage: Eukaryota; Metazoa; Chordata; Mammalia; Didelphimorphia; Didelphidae. The record is from RNAcentral.